This 500-nucleotide ribosomal RNA is filed under the name uncultured candidate division MSBL1 archaeon. RNAcentral describes it as "bacterial SSU rRNA". It matches the Rfam family "Archaeal small subunit ribosomal RNA", at positions 1 to 500 of the family's 1478-position model. Lineage: Archaea; Methanobacteriati; Methanobacteriota. The record is from RNAcentral.
UUCCGGUUGAUCCUGCCGGAGGCUACUGCUCUGGGAGUCGGAUUAAGCCAUGCUAGCGGAGGGCAGUUUGGCUGCCCCGCGAAUAGCUCAUUAACACGUGGUCAAUCUACCCUUGGCACGUGGAUAACCCCGGGAAACUGGGAAUAAUCCUCGAUAGACCGNCGUUCUGGAAAUGUCCCUCGUCUAAAAGUCUUGGCGCCCAUUGAUGAGACUGCGGCCUAUUAUGUAGUUGGUGAGGUAAUGGCUCACCAAGCCAAGAAUGGGUACGGGCCCUGAGAGGGGGAGCCCGGAGAUGGGGACUGAGACAAGGCCCCAGGCCCUACGGGGCGCAGCAGGUGCGAAAAUUCCGCAAUGCGUGCAAGCGCGACGGAGUGACUCCCAGUGCCGGUGGUCUAACGAUCGCCGGCUUUUCUGAAGUGUAAAAAGCUUCAGGUAAUAAGGGCCGGGUAAGACUGGUGCCAGCCGCCGCGGUAACACCAGCGGCCCAAGUGGUGUCGAUU